CCUACGGGAGACUGCAGUGAGGAAUAUUGGUCAAUGGGCGAGAGUCUGAACCAGCCAAGUCGCGUGAUGGAGUACUGCCCUAUGGGUUGUAAACCUCUUUUGUCGGGGAGUAAAAUCCUGCCGUGUUCGGCUGUUAUAUUACCCGAAGAAAAAGGAUCGGCGAACUCCGUGCCAGCCGCCGCGGUAAUACGGGGGAUGCGAGCGUUAUCCGGAUUUAUUGGGUUUAAAGGGUGCGCAGGCGGAUUUUUAAGUCAGCGGUCAAAUCGUGGGGCUCAACCCCAUCCAGCCGUUGAGACUGGGGAGCGAGAGUGUGCGAGAGGUAGGCGGAGUGCGUGGUGGAGCAGUGGA
RNAcentral lists this ribosomal RNA (348 nucleotides) under uncultured bacterium. Its description in RNAcentral is "partial 16S ribosomal RNA". It matches the Rfam family "Bacterial small subunit ribosomal RNA", at positions 338 to 685 of the family's 1533-position model. The record is from RNAcentral.